AGUUAGAAGGGCCAUCAUUAAAAAGUCAGGAAAACAACAGGUGCUGGAGAGGAUGUGGAGAAAUAGGAACACAUGUUGGUGGGACUGUAAAUUAGUUCAACCAUUGUGGAAGACAGUGUGGCGACUCCUCAGGGACCUAGAACUAGAAAUACCAUUUGACCCAGCCAUCCCACUACUGGGUAUAUUCCCAAAGGAUUGUAAGUCAUGCUGCUAUAAAGACACACGCACACAUGUUUAUUGUGGCACUAUUCACAAUAGCAAAGACUUGGAACCAACCCAAAUGUCCAACAAUAGACUGAAUUAAGAAAAUGUGGCAUAUAUACACCAUAGAAUACCAUGCAGCCAUAAAAAAUGAUGAGUUCAUGUCUUUGUAGGGACAUGGAUGAAGCUGGAAACUAUCAUUCUCAGCAAACUAUCGCAAGGACAAAAAACCAAACACCGCAUGUUCUCACUCAUAGGUGGGAAUUGAACAAUGAGAACACGCGGACACAGGAAGGGGAACAUCACACACCGGGGCCUGUUGUGGGGUAGGGGGAGCGGGGAGGGAUAGCAUUAGGAGAUAUAACUAAUGUAAAUGACGAGUUAAUGGGUGCAGCACACCAACAUGGCACAUGUAUACAUAUGUAACAAACCUGCACGUUGUGCAUAUGUACCCUAGAACUUAAAGUAUAAUAAAAAAUAUAUAUUAAAAAAAACCCAAAAACUUGAUAUGUAUCCAAAUUUAGCAUGCACCAUUUUCCUUAAACUUUACUAUGAGAUCCUGAAAAAAAAAAAAAAAAAGACCCUUGGGAUUACAUUGGAUCUACCCAAAUAAUCCAGGAUAAUCUCACUUUAAGAGCCUUAAUCACAUGUGCAAAGUUCUUUUGCCAUGGAAAGUAACACAUUAACAGGUUCCAGGGAUUAAGAUCUGGACAUCUUUAGGGGCCAUUUUGCAGCCUUCCACAACUAUCUACAUGUAAAUGAAUAUGAAAGGUAAUUAAUAUAAAAACUGUGAAGUAAGCACAGCCUACCUUUGUAAAUAAAAGGCACAAUUUCAAUGGUUGGAUGAAAGCUCCCAAGGAAAAAUAAGCUGGUCUGGCUUCAGCUUCCCUGACAGUCACAAAGCCUAUUCUGGGGAAGUGAGGGAACAAAGCUUUAAGUGAUUUCUUGGAAACAAAGGGCUUAAUAUUGUUGGGGUUUCUGGCCAGGCUGGAACAUGCAUUUGGCAGGCAUAAAUUCAGGGAUGAACUCCUAUGAAUUUUCUACUUGCAAGCUCUCCAAGAGUAGGUACAUAGUAGAACAUUUCCAGCAGGUCAAAGAAGGAACAGGAACUUCAUUAGAACACAGAACACAGUCUUGGGGACUCGGGAGAAAGGGUGGGAGUGGGGCAAUGGAUAAAAGACUACAAAUGGGGUGCAGCAUAUACUGCUUGGGUGAUGGAUGCACCAAAAUCUUACAAAUCACCACUAAAUAACUUACUCAUGUAACCAACCACCACUUGCAUCCCAAUAACCUGCGUGUGGUGGGGAAGAACACGGUCAGAUUGUGGGCCAGUUUUCCCCUGGGCUGUUUCUCAGUGUAAAAUGAUGGUACAACGAUAGCAGCCAUCUUUGUGAUGACAGCUCUCAUGAGCCACAGUGUUCCAAUCUGAACCCGUUGCCUUCUACGGAGUGUACAUAUAUAAUCCUGACAGACAGCCCUUCACCAAGCUCUUUGGAAGAGUCCCGUCACUGCUUCCCUGUGUUUGGCUGGAAGAGCACACAUCCUUCAGCAGCCCCUUGAGAAAUGAUAUUCAGGAAGUAAAUGCUUUUGAGAUCUCAUAUAUCUCCAAGUGUCUUUAUUCUACCAUAACCCUUGGCUUAUAAUUUGGCUAUGUAAAGAGUUCUAGGUUGGAAAUAAUUUUUUGUAAGAAUUCCAAAGGCACUUCUACAUUAUCUUCUUUCUAGCUUCCAAAGAUGUUGUUGAGAAGCGUGAAGACAUUUUGAUUCUUGAUCCUUUAUAUGUAACAAUCCGCCCCUCCGUCCCCCCUACACGCCUGCAGAAUCUUCGUGUGCUUGGGUGUUCUCAUAUCUCACAAGUAACAUGCUCCGGAGUUGGUCUAUUUUCAUCCAUUGUGCAGUGACCUUUUGACUCUGGAAAUUCUAUCAAUCAAUCAGUUCUGGAAAAUUCUGAAUUAUUUUGAUGACUUCUUCCCUCCUGUUUUCUCAGGUUAUUCGGCUACUGACUUUCCAGACCAGUCCUCCUAUUUUCUCUUCUCUGUUUUCCAUGUUUGUCUUUGUUGCCUCCACUUUCUUUGAGUGUGUCAACUUUAAUUCCUAACUUUCCCAUUGAAUUUUAAUUCCUGCUACCAUAUUUUUUAAUUUCGACAAGCUGUUUUGUUCUGUUUCUUAAUAACAUCUUAUAUAUUAUUAUGGCUGCAGUAUCUCCUCUGAGGAUUUUUUUUUUGAGACACGGUCCGGCUCUGUCACUCAGGCUGGAGUGCAGUGUCACAAUCAUAGUUCAUUAAAGGCUUGAAUUCCUGGACUCAAGCAAUCCUCCUCCCUCAGCCCCCCAAGUAGCUGAGACUAUAGGCGCACAACACCAUGUCUGGCUAAUUCUUUUAUUUUUUGUAAAGAUGGGGGUCUCACUACGUUGCCCAGGCUAGUCUCAAAUUUCUGGGCUCAAGUUAUCCUCCCACCUUGGCCUCCCAAAGUGCUGGGAUUUAGACGUGAGCCACCACACCUAGCAACACUACCUUUUGAUAUGUUGCAAAUAUUUUUUCUGAAUUGGGCAGGAAUCUUUUACACAAUUUAAUUCCUUACAAGUAGAGAAGUAAGAACAUUAACUCUGGAGCUGGACUAUUGGGUUCAAAACCUGACUGACAACUUUCUAUAAAAAAGCUGACACUUUCAGCUAUAAAACUCUGGCAAGUUAUGUUAUUUAACUGGUGUCUGUUACAUGUCCACAUAUGAGAAAAACAGUAACCGCCUCCUGAGGUUUUUGUGAGGACCAAAUAAUUU
This 2978-nucleotide long non-coding RNA is filed under the name Homo sapiens (human). Its description in RNAcentral is "HSALNT0013039". The record is from RNAcentral. Lineage: Eukaryota; Metazoa; Chordata; Mammalia; Primates; Hominidae.